Long non-coding RNA from Xiphophorus couchianus (Monterrey platyfish), 1034 nucleotides. RefSeq lists it as uncharacterized. The transcript is spliced from 3 exons. NCBI's taxonomy places the organism in Eukaryota, Metazoa, Chordata, Actinopteri, Cyprinodontiformes, Poeciliidae. The record is from RefSeq and is a predicted model, not a curated record.
AUUCGACCACUAGGUGGUGGAAGUUUAUUCCGCUCUGACUGGGAAAAGCCUUCAUUCAAACUGAGAGAAGAAACAAGAGAAUGGCGGGUCAGCCGAGUGAUCGUGUUCGUGGUCUACCGUCCGAAGUGGAUGUGGUUAUUCCGUCAGUUUGUCGAAGAAGCGUCUUCAGACAAACUGCGCGAGCUCCUGAGGUUUUGGGUUGGCUGGGAGGUCCCUUGCCAAGAGCUGAAGCUUGAAGUUGUCCUGUCAACUGGACCUAACCAUAUGCCGACGUCUUCAACCUGUAGUGAGCAAUUACGGCUACCAAGUCACUACACCACCCACCAGGCCCUGUCAGCCGACAUGAAUGUGUGUCUGAAAUCAGUAGAGACAGGCUUUGGUCUUAUUUGAUAAAUAUGUAUUGAUGUUUCAUUUGUUGGGACAAUCACCCAAUGAGAACUGAACAAAACCUCACUCCAAAUCAGUUGUGGGAACUGGGACAGAUCGGACAUUCAGUGGUUGACCCAGAGAUUCCCCAUAUAAACUGGGAGGAAAGUGGGCUUGUUCCUGAUCCACAUGCUGAAUUGCGAGUACCAGAGUUGGACAGCCCACUUACAGAAGAUCAGAUGGAGCUUCUCUGUGAAAACAUUGACCCCUUACAACCUUCAGAGUCUAGUGGCAUGGACAUUUACAUGGAUACUCUGCAAUAUUUGGAAACUUUACUUGUGACAAAUUAGUUGUCACUUAAAUUUAAAUGUUUGUAAUGAACAGCAUUUUCAAUACCAUUUAUUUAAAAAAUCCAUCAAACAUGUACAAAUAUACAAGCAAGUACAAGCUAGAGAAAGAACCAGCUGGCAAAAAUGUUAACUUUAUAAAGUUUAAUGUACACCAGAAACAUGAAAAUUAUUUUAUGUUUGAAUGCCAAACAUUUGUGGAAUAUUUCAGCAAAAAACCACAUGAUGAACAGGGAUGCCUGACAAACAUUUAGUAGUCACCUCAGGAACACAACUUCAUGUCAAGACUGUGUUGAUGGACAUUAUUUGUAAAAAAAAAAA